Molecule: ribosomal RNA, 515 nt
Filed under: uncultured bacterium
Lineage: Bacteria
Description: bacterial SSU rRNA
Rfam family: Bacterial small subunit ribosomal RNA
Source: RNAcentral
CUGGCGGCAUGCCUAUACAUGCAGUCGAACGCUUUGAUUUCACCGGGUGCUUGCACCCACCGAAGUCAAAGAGUGGCGGACGGGUGAGUAACACGUGGGUAACCUGCCCAUAAGAGGGGGAUAACAUUCGGAAACGGAUGCUAAUACCGCAUACUUCUAAUCGCCUCCUGGCGAAUGGAAAAAAGGUGGCUUCGGCUACCGCUUAUGGAUGGACCCGCGGCGUAUUAGCUAGUUGGUGAGGUAAUGGCUCACCAAGGCGAUGAUACGUAGCCGACCCGAGAGGGUGAUCGGCCACACUGGGACUGAGACACGGCCCAGACUCCUACGGGAGGCAGCAGUAGGGAAUCUUCCGCAAUGGACGAAAGUCUGACGGAGCAAUGCCGCGUGAGUGAAGAAGGUUUUCGGAUCGUAAAACUCUGUUGUUAGAGAAGAACAAGGAUGAGAGUAACUGCUCAUCCCCUGACGGUAUCUAACCAGAAAGCCACGGCUAACUACGUGCCAGCAGCCGCGGUAAU